AUACGUAGGGGGCGAGCGUUGUCCGGAAUGAUUGGGCGUAAAGGGCGCGUAGGCGGCCUGUUAAGUCUGGAGUGAAAGUCCUGUUUUCAAGAUGGGAAUUGCUUUGGAUACUGAUGGGCUUGAGUGCAGGAGAGGUUAUCGGAAUUCCCGGUGUAGCGGUGAAAUGCGUAGAGAUCGGGAGGAACACCAGGGGCGAAGACGGGUAACUGGACGGCAACUGACGCUGAGGCGCGAAAGUGUGGGGAGCAAACAGGAUUAGAUACCCUGGUAGUCCACACCGUAAACGAUGAAUGCUAGGUGUAAGAGGUAUCGACCCCUUUUGUGCCGGAGUUAACACAAUAAGCAUUCCGCCUGGGGAGUACGGCCGCAAGGUUGAAACUCAAAGGAAUUGACGGGG
This 397-nucleotide ribosomal RNA is filed under the name uncultured bacterium. RNAcentral's name for it is "partial 16S ribosomal RNA". It matches the Rfam family "Bacterial small subunit ribosomal RNA", at positions 523 to 918 of the family's 1533-position model. The record is from RNAcentral.